RNAcentral lists this transfer RNA (76 nucleotides) under Caldanaerovirga acetigignens. Its description in RNAcentral is "tRNA_Trp_CCA". It matches the Rfam family "tRNA". From Rfam's summary of the family: Transfer RNA (tRNA) molecules are approximately 80 nucleotides in length. Their secondary structure includes four short double-helical elements and three loops (D, anti-codon, and T loops). RNAcentral also lists the same sequence under 3 other names. The record is from RNAcentral. Lineage: Bacteria; Bacillati; Bacillota; Clostridia; Thermosediminibacterales; Thermosediminibacteraceae.
AGGGGAGUAGCUCAAUUGGCAGAGUAGCGGUCUCCAAAACCGCCGGUUGCAGGUUCGAGUCCUGUCUCCCCUGCCA